This 685-nucleotide long non-coding RNA is filed under the name Bemisia tabaci. RNAcentral's name for it is "lncRNA ENSASIAIIG005835". The record is from RNAcentral. Lineage: Eukaryota; Metazoa; Arthropoda; Insecta; Hemiptera; Aleyrodidae.
CGAAUUUUCCGCGUGUUGAAAAAGUGUUGAAAAUAGAUGAAAAUAGCGGUCAAGAAUGGUGAAUCUUACAGUAAUUUCGUAGGUACUUAUCUUUACUUGUAAGUGAUGUCCUCUUGUAUCAUGUUAGUUCUCGCAUGAUGUUUGUUCACGCGGUCUUCGUGCUUACCUAAAAUGCGGCAUGUUUCCCGAUUGCGUUGAUGCGUUCUUGCGUAAGUAGUGCUUUUCCAUUUCCCACGGUCAUAUUACUUAAACGUUUCUGUGUCAAGAGUAAAUGGAAUGUCUGCCGACUGACUUUUUAACUGCUGGCCACAACCUUUAGGACGUCAACAUGUCAAUAACAAGGAUGCCGGAUCUGAUUGCCGCUCAUGAUUUUGCAAGAAUCAGUGAACCACCGUGGAAAGCAAGUGACAUAUGGAGGAAAAUUACUCAUCUUCGCAUCUUCCGGGAACCCCCACGCAGAAUCAGUUUUCCGAGCAUGCGAGCAGUUGCGAAGAAAAGAAAAUUCAUGCUUCCCCUGUUUCACGAUGAAAUUCGCGCCGUCAUCGACGUUGCUACGAACGGCGCAGCCGACCGUGAAAUGAUUCAGGCAAGUUUUUUCAAUUAUACUGCCUCAAAAGGCUCCACAAUCAAUGGCAUUUUGAAUGCAGUAGUAACCCCUGACACCGAUGUCAUACAUAUAGUAUAG